RNAcentral lists this long non-coding RNA (315 nucleotides) under Pomacea canaliculata. Its description in RNAcentral is "uncharacterized LOC112577033, transcript variant X1". Lineage: Eukaryota; Metazoa; Mollusca; Gastropoda; Architaenioglossa; Ampullariidae. The record is from RNAcentral.
AUCUGAAUUUGUCAGGUGUUUGUGAUUGUUGUCACAGAACCAUGAUCAAGGUGCUCCUACUACUGCUGCUACUCAGCGCCCUGGCUACCCUGGCGGUGGCAGGCCCUCUGUUUGGAGGACUGUUUGGCGGACUCAGGUAUGGAGGUGGCUGGUAUGGAGGUGGACGUGGCUGUUACUACUGCUUUCCUUUCUUCGGCGACUUCGACUAGCGAUUUAACGCACACUGAGAUUCCCAGAUGGUGUUCUCAACUGAAGUCAACAAACUAAGCAGCUGUCAUUAGAUGUAACAGCAAUAAACUAAUUGUCGAGCAAACA